GAUGAACGCUGGCGGCGUGCCUAAUACAUGCAAGUCGAGCGAACAGACGAGGAGCUUGCUCCUCUGACGUUAGCGGCGGACGGGUGAGUAACACGUGGAUAACCUACCUAUAAGACUGGGAUAACUUCGGGAAACCGGAGCUAAUACCGGAUAAUAUAUUGAACCGCAUGGUUCAAUAGUGAAAGACGGUUUUGCUGUCACUUACAGAUGGAUCCGCGCCGCAUUAGCUAGUUGGUAAGGUAACGGCUUACCAAGGCAACGAUGCGUAGCCGACCUGAGAGGGUGAUCGGCCACACUGGAACUGAGACACGGUCCAGACUCCUACGGGAGGCAGCAGUAGGGAAUCUUCCGCAAUGGGCGAAAGCCCGACGGAGCAACGCCGCGUGAGUGAUGAAGGUCUUCGGAUCGUAAAACUCUGUUAUUAGGGAAGAACAAAUGUGUAAGUAACUAUGCACGUCUUGACGGUACCUAAUCAGAAAGCCACGGCUAACUACGUG
RNAcentral lists this ribosomal RNA (497 nucleotides) under uncultured bacterium. Its description in RNAcentral is "partial 16S ribosomal RNA". It matches the Rfam family "Bacterial small subunit ribosomal RNA", at positions 28 to 507 of the family's 1533-position model. The record is from RNAcentral.